UACGAAGGGUGCAAGCGUUACUCGGAAUUACUGGGCGUAAAGCGUGCGUAGGUGGUUUGUUAAGUCUGCUGUGAAAGCCCCGGGCUCAACCUGGGAAUGGCCGUUGAAACUGGCGAACUGGAGUGUGGCAGAGGGGGGUGGAAUUCCGCGUGUAGCAGUGAAAUGCGUAGAGAUGCGGAGGAACACCGAUGGCGAAGGCAGCCCCCUGGGCUAACACUGACGCUCAGGCACGAAAGCGUGGGGAGCAAACAGG
RNAcentral lists this ribosomal RNA (253 nucleotides) under uncultured bacterium. Its description in RNAcentral is "partial 16S ribosomal RNA". It matches the Rfam family "Bacterial small subunit ribosomal RNA", at positions 524 to 776 of the family's 1533-position model. The record is from RNAcentral.